This 487-nucleotide ribosomal RNA is filed under the name uncultured bacterium. Its description in RNAcentral is "bacterial SSU rRNA". It matches the Rfam family "Bacterial small subunit ribosomal RNA", at positions 19 to 518 of the family's 1533-position model. The record is from RNAcentral.
CUGGCUCAGGAUGAACGCUGGCGGCGUGCUUAACACAUGCAAGUCGAACGAAGCUAAGGGAGCUUGCUCCCAAAGCUAGUGGCGGACGGGUGAGUAACGCGUGGGUAACCUGCCCUAUAGAGGGGGAUAACGUUCGGAAACGAACGCUAAUACCGCAUAAACCAUAAGGAGCUGCAUGGCUCUGAUGGCAAAGAUUUAUCGCUAUAGGAUGGACCUGCGUUGGAUUAGCUAGUUGGUGAGAUAACAGCUCACCAAGGCGACGAUCCAUAGCCGGCCUGAGAGGGUGAACGGCCACAUUGGGACUGAGACACGGCCCAAACUCCUACGGGAGGCAGCAGUGGGGAAUAUUGCACAAUGGGCGCAAGCCUGAUGCAAGCGACGCCGCGUGAAGGAAGAAGGUCUUCGGAUUGUAAACUUCUAUCAGCAGGGAAGAAUAAAUGACGGUACCUGACUAAGAAGCCCCGGCUAACUACGUGCCAGCAGCUGC